Molecule: long non-coding RNA, 731 nt
Organism: Saccostrea echinata
Lineage: Eukaryota; Metazoa; Mollusca; Bivalvia; Ostreida; Ostreidae
Exons: 3
Source: RefSeq, a predicted model, not a curated record
UAUGAAAGGAAAAAAGUAAACUGUAUUAGAUAUAUUACUUUAAUCUUUCUUAUCACAAAAUAUAAAAACAUUAAAAUAAACACGUUAAAAAAGGUUUAACAGUUUUCACACUAACGUACAAUUAACCCCGGUCAGUUUACAUCACUUAGAUCCACUCCCCAAAUUUAUCUUCAAUGCAUCAGAUAAGGAGUGGUUCUAGCUUAGCUGGUCAGUUUCAGUGUCAUGAUAACCUUGUUAUGCAAUUUUCUUACUGGGCAGCGAUACAGAGAAGUUGUUUGCAGCUUAUCUAGGUCAACAUUUGAAUUCAACUGAUGGACAAGAAGUGCGCGUCUUCUUGCUGUUCACAUAUUAUGUAUUUUACACGGCAUGCACAAGGAUUAAGGCUGGAUUAUCAACUUCUGCUCAUUGGCCGUAAUUAAGGUUCCAUCAACCACUGCCGGCUUUGAGACGUAAUUGAUGCCCUGAUUGGAUGAGAUCCAUCGCACGUGAAAAUUACAAAGGAAUGCAACAUUGUGUUUUGCAUUAGAGGAUGGAGCUUUCUGUUCAUUUCUUUCCGACUGACGAGUCAUUUUGUGGGACUUACCGGUACAUGUAACUAUCAAUGGAUCCGCCACUUUGUGGAACUUAGUUUUAGACAGAUGCGUGAUAUGAUGAACCUGGAUAUGAUUACUGUGACCCCCUUUUCACUAGGAAGAUAAAUUUUGUUAAACAGUGAUUUAUGAGAUUCGGUG